CGACGUAGGUAACCUACCUAUUAGAGGGGGAUAACUAUUGGAAACGAUAGCUAAUACCGCAUAACAGUAUGUAACACAUGUUAGAUGCUUGAAAGAUGCAAUUGCAUCGCUAGUAGAUGGACCUGCGUUGUAUUAGCUAGUAGGUAGGGUAAAGGCCUACCUAGGCAACGAUACAUAGCCGACCUGAGAGGGUGAUCGGCCACACUGGGACUGAGACACGGCCCAG
This 226-nucleotide ribosomal RNA is filed under the name uncultured bacterium. RNAcentral's name for it is "partial 16S ribosomal RNA". It matches the Rfam family "Bacterial small subunit ribosomal RNA", at positions 113 to 334 of the family's 1533-position model. The record is from RNAcentral.